RNAcentral lists this ribosomal RNA (440 nucleotides) under Daphnia galeata. RNAcentral's name for it is "partial 12S ribosomal RNA". Lineage: Eukaryota; Metazoa; Arthropoda; Branchiopoda; Diplostraca; Daphniidae. The record is from RNAcentral.
UUCAAUUUUUGAAGUUUUUCUAGCUUUUUUGUUGGGUGAAAUCAGUAUAAGAAGCUCUUUCCUCUUUAAAAAUUAGUAGGAACUAAAAAACUUUGAUUUAAAACCAGGAUUAGAUACCCUGUUAUUCUCAGUUAUUCUUAAACAGGGUAGUAAAAGUUGUUCUUCAAACCCAAAGAUUUUGGCGGCACUUUAUCCAAAUAGAGGAGCUUGUCCCUUAAUCGAUAGUCCUCGUUUUAUCUUUCCUUCAUUUGUAAAGCUUGUAUACCGCCGUUGUCAGAUUACUUUUAGAGAAUGUUUUCAAGUUAAAAGACUUUAUAACUUCAGGUCAAGGUGCAGUUUAUAUGGGGGUGGAGGUGAGCUACAGUUUUCUUUAGAAAAUACGGAUUCUAAGCUUUGAAGCUAGCUGAAGGUGGAUUUACUAGUAAAGUAAUUUAAGUAAA